RNAcentral lists this ribosomal RNA (460 nucleotides) under uncultured bacterium. RNAcentral's name for it is "partial 16S ribosomal RNA". It matches the Rfam family "Bacterial small subunit ribosomal RNA", at positions 338 to 795 of the family's 1533-position model. The record is from RNAcentral.
CCUACGGGAGGCAGCAGUGAGGAAUAUUGGUCAAUGGACGAGAGUCUGAACCAGCCAAGUAGCGUGAAGGAUGACUGCCCUAUGGGUUGUAAACUUCUUUUAUAUGGGAAUAAAACGUUCCACGUGUGGGAUUUUGUAUGUACCAUAUGAAUAAGGAUCGGCUAACUACGUGCCAGCAGCCGCGGUAAUACGGAGGAUCCGAGCGUUAUCCGGAUGUAUUGGGUUUAACGGGAGCGGAGGUGGAUUGGUAAGUCAGUUGUGAAAGUGUGCGGCUCAACCGUAAAAUUGCAGUUGAAACUGGCAGUCUUGAGUACAGUAGAGGUGGGCGGAAUUCGUGGUGUAGCGGUGAAAUGCUUAGAUAUCACGAAGAACUCCGAUUGCGAAGGCAGUUCACUGGACUGCAACUGACACUGAGGCUCGAAAGUGUGGGUAUCAAACAGGAGUAGAUACCCCAGUAGUC